Long non-coding RNA from Carassius gibelio (silver crucian carp), 2056 nucleotides. RefSeq lists it as uncharacterized. The record is from RefSeq and is a predicted model, not a curated record. NCBI's taxonomy places the organism in Eukaryota, Metazoa, Chordata, Actinopteri, Cypriniformes, Cyprinidae. The transcript is spliced from 4 exons.
UUUGUCAUAAACCACAUGUAGUAAGGUGCAAUAAAAAAAGUGUUAAGCUCUUUGUGGCUUGUCAGUGUCUUUGUGACUCUCAAACCUGUAACAGUUAGCAGGAUCUGAUCAGCCAUCCUUGAUUUCUCCUGCCUUCAGACAUUUUUUACAACAUGUCAGGCGAAUGGACAAGCUUCUCUGAAGUUUGUUGGAAUUGGACACUGGGGUGGACUUCCUAUAUUCCCCACAACACGCCACAUGAGUUUGACACGGCCAAUGAACUGGGCAGAAUCACUCAGGCCUGGACUUUGUCCUCAGUCUCGGAGAUCAGGGAUGUAGAUGACACCCAUUUUAAGUUUAAAUGAAGGCCUAUUCUUCAGUCUUCCUGGGAGAGUGUGUUCUCUCACCCCGCGCUGAUGGACGUGUCGUGGUACCUGGUAGCAGGAAAUCAUGAUCACCUGGAAACAUAUCAGCCCAGAUCGCUUACUCAAACAGAUCGGAAAGAUGGAUCUACCCAGACCUCCACUACGAGCUGAACUUCAAGGUUACUUCCAUCACGGUUCUGAUGAUUGACACGGUGGUUUUGUGUGGGAACACCUAUGACGGGCUUGAACCUGUAGGUCCAGGGGACUACGUUGUUUUUAAGCAACGAAUGAAAUGGAUCAAAAAGAAACUUCAAAACACCAAGUGAGUUAUUAGUACAACAGUAGCUAAGACCCAAAUGCAAACAAUAUCUAAUAGAAGAACAAACAACACUGAAAUCCAAUGUGGAUAAUCGCAAGAAGUGUUUUGCUUUUACUGGGCAAACAUUAGACGUCUAACAGGAAUUUUAGGGCAUGUUUUUAAAGGCCCUGGCCUGCCACACUCCUUCCACGCCUCCAUUGUCACAUUCUUUCACUUAUUCUCUCUCACUUCUUCACCGCUUCAGAUCCACGAUCACAUCCUCUUAAAUCUCAGAUGUGACUUUGGAAAACACUCCUGGCAUUCAAUACUAAAAAUAUGACCAGUUAUUAAAAGGGACCGUUUGCCAAAAAAUUAAAUCUGUCAUCACCCUUAUAUCAUUGCAAAAAACAGUAAAAAAACAGACUGUACUAAAUGCCCUAUGUCACUUGAUUGAUAAUUUUAAAACCAAGUAAAUGGCCUUUUAGAAUAACAGUAAACGUGUCCACUUUCAGGUUGUAGUGUGUUUCUUUUUGAUGUGGAGUUUUAUCAUCUUAAUGAAAGAAUAAAUUAUAUAUUGCUAUUAAUAUUUCAAGAUGAACCCUUACUGGGCUGAAGCAACUUACAGUAGGUUUACUUGAUUAUCCAUUAUAAUUUAGCAUUUUUAAGAAAAAUCAUCAUGAAAUGAUAGUAUCAAAAAUGAUACAUCAUGCUUUUCAUAAAUAUUUGAUCCUAAAAGCAUUUAAAUAUCAUCUUAUUAAGACAUUUUAUCGAAAUAUAUUGUGUGAGAAUUUAUAUUUAUGUAUAUUUAUGCAGGUACUGUAGUCUGCUAUAAAGAUCACACUAUCAUUACUAUUACUAUUACUAUUAUAAAUACUAUUACUAUUAUUAUUAGAAUUUCAUUGUACUUUCUAACCAUAUCAAUAUCACCAUUUGCAAAAAAAAAAAAUUGCAUAUUUUUGCUGAGUUUGGACCGCUUAAUAAAUUUCAAGUGUUUUUUUUUUCUUGAGUAUGAACUCUAUAUUCUUCUAUAUUCUGUAAGUGUCAUAAAGCUUGAUGUAUCAAAUAUGACAAAAAACACUUUACAAUAUGCUGUCAAUAAACUAUUAAUUCAGGAUGCCACACAAUGUUCAAAAAAAUUGAAUGCAGCAAUUUAAAUUGUAACGUAUAAUAAUAUAAUGGCAGAAUUUGCAUUUUGAGUGAAAAUAAUUUUUUAAUUGUCCAGUUUUAUGACUUAACAGCCAGAUAAAAGUAAACACAAACAGCAAAUGCCCUCACAUGCGCAGGUGAAAUUACAGUAAAAGUUCCACCGAAAAAAAAUAGCGGCACUCACUCACUCACAAGAGUUUGGUAUCAAAACUCAGACCACUUCUGAAGAAGUACAGCAUCUCCUUAUAUCUGUGUGGUCAUGACCACA